UGAAAAAGAAGAAUAAAGAGCGUGAAUCAAGAGAGUGUGUGAGUGUCUUUUCCCCUUAACCCUCUCAAAUAGAAAAGUCAUAGUUUCACUCCCCAUCCCCUGGGAAGGUCUAAGACUGGGGCCUCCUGAGGCCCUAACCGGGCCCUCCUUGAGUAGGGAGGUGAGUUCCCAGAGAGCAGGGCUCCAUGCCUGGGCAGACCAGGCAGGAGAGGCCCGGAGUGGGCAGAUGCCUCUCUCGCUGGAGCUUGGAACAGACUCACGGACAGAAAGUUGUAGUUUGCACAGAUGCCACGGAUUCUCGUCCAGCCCUGGGCUGUCUGGAGGUUGGUUCUCCCUUCCUCAUCUGAUUGAUGGUCUCUUCUUGA
This is a ribozyme of Mesocricetus auratus (golden hamster), 365 nucleotides long. It matches the Rfam family "Nuclear RNase P". From Rfam's summary of the family: Ribonuclease P (RNase P) is a ubiquitous endoribonuclease, found in archaea, bacteria and eukarya as well as chloroplasts and mitochondria. Its best characterised activity is the generation of mature 5'-ends of tRNAs by cleaving the 5'-leader elements of precursor-tRNAs. NCBI's taxonomy places the organism in Eukaryota, Metazoa, Chordata, Mammalia, Rodentia, Cricetidae. The record is from Ensembl.